UAGGGAAUUUUCGUCAAUGGGCGCAAGCCUGAACGAGCAAUGCCGCGUGAACGAGGAAGGUCUUCGGAUCGUAAAGUUCUGUUGAAGGGGAAAAAGAGCGGAGAGAGGAAAUGGUCUCCGAUUGAUAUUACCCUUCGAGGAAGUCACGGCUAACUACGUGCCAGCAGCCCGGUAAUCAUA
Molecule: ribosomal RNA, 180 nt
Filed under: uncultured bacterium
Lineage: Bacteria
Description: partial 16S ribosomal RNA
Rfam family: Bacterial small subunit ribosomal RNA
Source: RNAcentral